RNAcentral lists this ribosomal RNA (434 nucleotides) under uncultured bacterium. Its description in RNAcentral is "partial 16S ribosomal RNA". It matches the Rfam family "Bacterial small subunit ribosomal RNA", at positions 29 to 507 of the family's 1533-position model. The record is from RNAcentral.
AGCGAACGCUGGCGGCAGGCCUAACACAUGCAAGUCGAACGAACCUUUCGGGGUUAGUGGCGGACGGGUGAGUAACACGUGGGAACGUGCCUUUAGGUUCGGAAUAACUCAGGGAAACUUGUGCUAAUACCGAAUGUGCCCUUCGGGGGAAAGAUUUAUCGCCUUUAGAGCGGCCCGCGUCUGAUUAGCUAGUUGGUUGAGGUAAUGGCUCACCAAGGCGACGAUCAGUAGCUGGUCUGAGAGGAUGAUCAGCCACAUUGGGACUGAGACACGGCCCAAACUCCUACGGGAGGCAGCAGUGGGGAAUCUUGCGCAAUGGGCGAAAGCCUGACGCAGCCAUGACGCGUGAAUGAUGAAGGUCUUAGGAUUGUAAAAUUCUUUCACCGGGGACGAUAAUGACGGUACCCGGAGAAGAAGCCCCGGCUAACUUCGUG